CAGCAGGCGGACUCUCAACCACUGCGCCACCAGGGAAGCCCAUGACAGUCAUGAAGAUGCAUGCUACAGAAGCAAAGGUUAUGCAAACUGCUUCUGCACAUGAAGGAAAAUGCAGAGAAAAUGGCAAAACUUCCAAGCUGGUGCCUGGUGAUAUUGCUGGUAAACAUCUUUGGAAUCUUCCUGUUAUUUCCUGUGAAUAACAUUCCAAUCGAGAUAACUCAAAAGUCUUUGGGUUUGCAACUACCUCC
Long non-coding RNA from Aethalodelphis obliquidens (Pacific white-sided dolphin), 248 nucleotides. RefSeq lists it as uncharacterized. Lineage: Eukaryota; Metazoa; Chordata; Mammalia; Artiodactyla; Delphinidae. The transcript is spliced from 3 exons. The record is from RefSeq and is a predicted model, not a curated record.